This 328-nucleotide ribosomal RNA is filed under the name uncultured bacterium. RNAcentral's name for it is "bacterial SSU rRNA". It matches the Rfam family "Bacterial small subunit ribosomal RNA", at positions 200 to 507 of the family's 1533-position model. The record is from RNAcentral.
AUGAAAGCGGGGGAUCGCAAGACCUCGCGCGUUUGGAGCGGCCGAUGGCAGAUUAGGUAGUUGGUGGGGUAAAGGCUUACCAAGCCCGCGAUCUGUAGCUGGUCUGAGAGGAUGAUCAGCCACACUGGGACUGAGGACACGGCCCAGACUCCUACGGGAGGCAGGCAGUGGGGAAUUUUGGACAAUGGGCGAAAGCCUGGAUCCAGCCAUUCCGCGUGCAGGAUGAAGGCCCUCGGGUUGUAAACUGCUUUUGUACAGAACGAAAAGCUCUUUCUAAUACAGAGAGUCCAUGACGGUACUGUAAGAAUAAGCACCGGCUAACUACGUG